Molecule: long non-coding RNA, 6793 nt
Organism: Canis lupus familiaris (dog)
Lineage: Eukaryota; Metazoa; Chordata; Mammalia; Carnivora; Canidae
Exons: 5
Source: RefSeq, a predicted model, not a curated record
UAGCCCUCACCAGCUAAACCAUGCUGAGAAGCGGGUAGGCUAGGUAGUAGCCCACAGCAGAGCCGAGGAUCACGCCGAAGAAAAUCCAGGUGUUGUAGGACAUGACAGCCAGCAUCAUGAAGUAGCCUAUGACCACCUGAAGGACAUGGAUUACAGACUGGCCAAAGUGACAGAAAAGCCACCUAAAUGAAAAGUAGAGCCAAGUUAGUGUCGGUAAUGAGCUGGAAGCUAGGAGCUGGUGUCAGGAACUAGAAAAAGCGGCUGAGUUAACAGGCCCAGCUUAUUUAUAAUGUGUAUGCUUAACUCAGAAGAGAUUUAUUUCUAAAGAGCUGUAUGAGAAACCAUACAGGGAACAGGGCCUGGCACAAGGAGCCUUGGAUAAUCACGUCUCUACUACAUUCAGCUCUGAGCUUCCUGGCAUACAAGGCAGAAAGGGAAAAUGAGGCAUGUAUUGUCAUGUCUGCUAAAGACUAAUACAAAAUCAUCAGUAAGGCAGGUAUUUUUUUUUCUUUCUGCAUCUACUGUGGAAGGCAGUAUUACAAUGGAAAGAUCAACUCCUAGCUCUGCCACUUACUAUCUUGUGGCUUAGCACAAACAUCUUAACCUCUCUGAACUGAAAUUUCCUUAUCAGUAAAACAAGAAUAAGAAUACCUCCCUCGAGGGGUGGGCGUGAACGGCAGAGACACGCGUGUAAGGACAGGCCGGCUCAUGAAGCACAGCUAGAGAGGGCCGAAGCAGACCCUAUGUGGCUGCCUUACCAGACCAGGGUGGGAAGGAGGCUCGGGCUCCCCCACCAAGCCUGCUCCACUGCUGACAGCAAUUCCUACUAUUUGUGUAGGGACAGCUGCAGAUUCCGUCUUGGCUUUGGAAGCCCUGGUGACCUAAGAAAGGCUGCUGAGAUUUGAAGGAGGCACUGGGUGGACACUCUUGUUGCCAGACCGAGGCCUGCAGGAGAGUUCUGGGGAUCUGAGCCUCCCCAGUGGGCUGUUCGUGGAGCUCUGGCCUAGGCAUCAGGGGACCCCUGCUCUGGUUCACCUCACAACUUAUCCACUGUAAGCACUUUGGCAAGUCCUGGGCCUCAGUUUGCUUUCCAUGAAGUGGGGCUAAUGCCCUCCGGGCCCAGCCUGUCUCUCAGGGUGAAUGUGAGUACGCUGCCAUUCCCCACACACUCUGCCUGUUACCUGAGGCGGGUUGUGCUGACCGGGGGCGAGUCUGAGCCUGAAGAAUCCUGGUCUGUCUCCUCAGUGAGCUGGCUGGCGGGGAUGGACAUGCUCACUACAGCCCAGUAGAGCAGCUUGGCUUUCCCAACCUUGAUGCUUUCAUACAACACAGCCAGGAACAGGACCACCAGCACUGAAAGGGCCAUGCCUGUCAAACGAAGCGGAGUUGCAGAGACCUGGACAGGCAAGCACUGAUCCCCUUCUGGCAGCUUCCCCUGGGACCUGGGAUAGGUGGAGAAGAGCACCUCCACCCAGUCCCUCUCAAUCCAUUCCACCUCUCUCUCUCGCAUCUUCUUCCCCACCCUGCUUGGGCUCAGAACUUGACUCUCUUUCCCCCUCCAGCUCUUUCUUGGUCAGGAUGGCCUUUUGGGUAUGUCUUUGAGAUCAGGAAAAGAAGCCAUCUGUAAAGCCAGCGGCCAAGGGUGAAGAGGUCACACACACUGCCCUCAGCUCCCCCCUCCGCCACCUCCCCCGCCCCCCAACAGGCAGCACAAGUCUGUCCUGACUUGUUAAGAGCAUGUAUGCAAGCUCCUGUGUAUGAGGAUGUACACAGAAAAGUCUGGAAGGAAGGAGAGACAACAAGAGUCAUAAUUAUCUGUGCAAACUAGAAUAUGAGAUUUUUAUUUUCUUCUCACCUAAUUUUCCUAAGCUUCUACUGUAUGGCUUUUAUAAUAGUGGGGAAAAAAAACCCACUAAAUUAUUUGACAGAAAACAUGAAGUGCUUAUGAGAGCUGCUGUAAAAUUAGCUGCUAAUUGCUACUUCUGUUUUAUAAGACAGGGAGGGAUACUAAAUGGUCCAGCUAUAGUUAUUUUAUUGGGCUCCCAGGAGGAAAUCAGCUACAAAAGAUGCAGGUUAUAUUUUAAAACAUAAAAUUACAUGUAAUUACGUGCACAUGGCAUGAAUUCAACCAGUACAACAGGGUAUAGAGUGAAAGGUAAGUCUUCCCAGCCCAGUGCCUAAAAUCCCAGUCCUCUCCCCAGAGCAUUUUCCUAUAUAGCUCUCCGGGGACACCUGCUGUAGGUAUCUCCCUGUGCAUAUUCUUCUGCAUCUGACAUCAUCCAAGUACACUGUCCCCUCAGUUCAUACAGACCUACCUUAUUUCUGUGGUUUCGAAGUAUCAGAUACACUCUGUUUUCCAAAGAUGGCCACCUCACCCUAUUCCACCCCACAUGCUCUUAUGUCAAACACCCCUGCCAUCAAGUGGUGGGGGCCAUGCCCCCCUCUUUAGGCUGAGAAGACCUUUGUGACUUUCUCACCCAGUAAAGGUGGAAAUAAGGCUCUGUGACUUCCAAAGCUAGGUCUUAAAAAUCCCAGGCGCUUCUAACCUUGUUCUCUGGACACACUCAUGCCCCAGAACCCAGCUGCCCUGCCACGAGGAAGCCCAGACCGCAGGAGACACCACAUGUGGGUGUUCAACCAGCAACCCCUGCCGGAGGUCCUCGCUGAUGACCAGCAGCGGCCAGGAGACACGAGCCUGAGGCAGCCUUCAGGAGGACUCCAGCUGCAGCCACUGUCUGACUACACCCGCCGGAGAGGCUGUGAGUGGGGACGGCUUAGCUGAGCCCAGUCAACUCAGGACUUCCAGGAGGAAUACUACAAUGACUGGGAUUAGGGGGGCGGGGGUGACCACUGUAGGGAUGACCGUGAUUUAGUUGAUCAGCACCUGUGGGGCUGGGCACUUGGGCCGCUUUCCACCUACUAUUAAGAUACAGUUUUUUAACCUGAAACGGAACUUUCAGCUCUGCCUUUUCAAGUCACACCAAUAUCAUUCUCUUGCAAAUUGGUGUCUCAUUUGAGGUCCAGCCUGCAACAGCUGUUAUGGGCUUCUGAGUGGAUGCUAGGCAUGGUAGGAGGUAGGUGUUGGGGUGUUACUAGGAGGCAGCAAGAGGCCUCCAUCUAGUUCUGGCUCUGAUGCUACUGGCUCUGUGACCCUGGACAAGUCUCUUCCCCUCUUUGGGUUUCUGUUCCUUCUUUAGUCACAGAGGCAAAAGUUGUAUCCUCGGCCUGUCUCUGGGCCCUUGUGACAAUCAGUGAGUUCAUGGAGCCUCUUGUGAUCUAAAGAGCAGUGCUUGCAAAUGGAAUUAUAAAUGUGAAGUUCCUGCUCAAUGUUUAUGUGAGAGGAGUCAGGCUCACUUAAAUGUCCACAGAGUGUAACACCAAAGAGAACCCAGGCUGUCCACUGCCUAGAGCAACAAAGUUUUCCGAGCUACAAGCUUAUUAGGCUUUCCAAUUUUUACCUGCAGGACUGUGGACACUCCAGAAAUCAAACAGAAGCACCACCUCGUUGGAGAAGAUGAAAUGCAUCUGAAAGAAAAGGGAAUUUGCAUUUUAGGGUGUUUAAGGCAGUGAAAGUCAUGGUCCCUAAUGCUUUCCAGCAGCCUCCCCUAAAGGUCCAGAUGAAUGAGGUCACUGGUCUUAAGUGCUGGAAGGGCCAUCAGUGGUCAUUAGGAUCAACUGAGGCCAAACAGGGCAGUGGGUUAGCAGCAGAGCUAUAAUGAGCUGGUCCUACUCCAGGUGGACAUGAGGUAUAGGAGAUAACACACACCUCGGUGUCCUCAGGUCAUACUGAGCUGUCCCCUCUGUGCCCUCCAAACCCAAUGGGGAAGCAGUACACUGAGCAGUGACUGCCUCUUACCCCCAGGGCCCCAGUCAUUCUGCUCUGGCUGUGUGUAUCAUGGAGGGGCCAGGGGCAGCUGUCUCCACUCCACUCCACUCCACAUCCGUCCACUCAUUCAUUAAACAUUUGCUGACCCCACUCUGUGCCCAGCAUUCUGAACAAAGGUUAAUGUUUCUGCCUUUGAUGAGCUCCCAGCCUUAUAGAAAGAAUGAAGGUAGGUGCAGUGACCAUGCUGCCCAUCUGAAUGCCCUUCUCAAAGAGCGCCUUGCCCAGCCUGCGUUUGGGGUGGCAUCAAUGGCUUUUCAUACAUUACCUCAUUUCACAACUAUAUUCUGUGUGACAGGAACAAUUAGGCCCAUCACACAGAAAACUGGGGAAACUAGUCUCAGAAGAGUUAAGUAAUUUGCUGAAGGUCACAAAGCUAGUAAGUUGGCAGAGCUGGGAUUCAGAGCCAGGUCUAGCUGGAAGCCAUAGUGCUGUACAUUCCAGGAUACCAUGCUGCCUCUUGCUCGCCAACAAAGGACAAGGGAGCCGGGUGGUGAUCCUCAAUACCCACACCAGGCUUAAUGACUGUAUUGGGCAAGAUUAAAGUCGGAGGGAUCAAUGUUAGUUCACCGUCUCAGGGAAAGGAAGGUCCCCUCUCAUCAUCAAGUAGGACCUCAGUUAGCAGCAGUGGCUCUGCAAGCACUGUCAGUGCUCCUCCAGCUAAAGAGAUCCUGGCUGAGGGGGUUAGGUGAUAGAACACUUUGCCUUCUAAGUCAACUAUUAGUAUCCCCAAGUAUCAGAGCUAGAAUGUCCUUAGAAAGUUUGUGUGUGUGUGAUAUAAUUGACAUGUAACUUUUUAUAUUAGUUUCGAGUAUAUAGCAUGAUUCUGGUAUUUGUAUCUACUGUGAAACGACCACCACGUUUUGAGACUAGUUAAUAUCCAUCACCACACAUAGUUACAAGAACAUUUAAGACCUACUCUCAGAAAAAAAAAGGACCUACUCUCUCAGCAACUCUCAUACAGUAGUAGUAACCAUAGUCACCAUGCUGGGCAGCACAUCCCUGGGCCGUAUUCAUUUUCUCAGAGGCUUUUAGUCCCCUGGCUUUCAGUUUUGAUUUUGGGUUUGUUUUUGUUUUUUUUGCCAGGGAUCACGACCAAAUAAAGUCUUCCUUGUAACUCCACCAUAUGUAAAACCGGGGCUCUGAGUGAAGUGUAAAAAACACUGAUGUCAUCCAACUUGGCCCCUUUCUACCCCCAUUUCAUUCCCAUAUGGGGGAAAUGAGUCCCAACAGGGGAAAGGAUUUGCCCAAGACCUCAUAAGAAAAUGGAAACCUGGGCAGUCAUUUAAAAACCAUGUGGAAGAAUUCUAAAAUAAAAAUAUAGCUUCUUGCUCCCUCAAUGUGAGAGGGGUGCUUGUUUAGUGUAAGAGCUGAAACACACCAAAAAGAAAGUAGAAAUCAUUUUGAGUCUUACUACCCAGAGACCUCCCUUGUUAAGAUUUCAAAAAGCAUAUUUGUUGAUAGGGCAAAAUGUUCACUAAAGAUAAACAUGAGAAAACAAGUACAAAUUGUCUCGUGAAACUCUAUUUACGCCGGAGUCACUCAUUUGGCUUCAGACGAAGGCUCGAGCACCAUCGCUGCAGUGGGAAAUGUGGCAGGUGUUUGCACCAUGCCCCUUCCCUGAGUUCACUUAAUAAAGCAGUUGGCAUGACUGGAAUGUCCCCAACGGCUAGCUAAUCAGAGAAGUUCCCUGACUGGCUUCCUUCUAUCAUCCUUGGGCCUGGGCCAGAUGUCUCAGGGGCCUCAAACAGCUUUUGCUACAGACGUGAACACCCACAAAGCAACAGAAGUAUUUCGGAUGACAAACAUUGGCUUCUGUUUUUGCUAGGGGUGCAGGUGCUGGCAAUAUGGAAAGGGAUGAGACAAGUCCUUGGCCCUCAUGGAACUGUUAGGAGAGAGGGAAGGGGGCAGAUUAUUAGUACAGGGUAUAUGUAGUGGGUGAGAGGGAGGCACAGGGGAGGCAGCCCCCAGGGGGACACCUAAAGCAGCCAGGAAGGCAGAUGGCUAAAACAUCUUCUGAAGCAGGAGCAUCAGGAGGCAGCCAGGGGAAGACGGACAGUCCAGUAUGUUCCGAGCCGGAAGUGCACUUGGAGUCCAGGAAGGACAAAGGCCCACCUACCCUGGCCUUUUCGCUGGAGAAAAAGAUUCAAAUCAGCACACCCUGACGUGGGGCGGCAUUUUCCAGUGAAAGGGCCCUGUGGUCAGGCUCCUUCCAUAUCUGCCGCGAAGUCAUCCACUCCAACUGCCAAGGACUCCCAUCCCUGGCACACCUGCCUCCUGCAGGAAGACUAGAGGCUUUGAGCACUUCCCAUCACAGCUGCAUGGAGCUCUGAGUGCCAGCCCCUCAGACUGUCCCAUAUGUGUAGGAUCCAAAGGUCCUGGUAACCACUGUUCUGCUUGCUGUUGCCAUGAGUCUGACUACUCUUGAUAUAUUGGGUAUGCACCCAAGGAAAGAUUAAAAGAAGUAAAAGGAACUCAGCAAACAUAGCCCCGCCUGUUUACCAAAAACAUCACCUCCAGCAUUUCCAGUAUUGGAGGCACUGCCUGCCCAGUGACAUCUGUUCAACGGCCGCGGUAUCCUGACCGUGCAAAGGAACAAAUGGAAAUACUGCAUACUCUUCAGAGGCUUCUCUACGUGGGAGCAUAAGACUCCAUUCAAAGACAAGUAAACCACAGUCUGUGCUGCACUCUCACCACCUUUGACUUCAUACAGCUGUGAAGGAGUAUGCCUGCCCAGGAUACAGAGGGUGGGCACAACCAGACAUCCUCCUUCAGCUUCAAGAUGAGUAAGAGAAAAUUUACACUUGAUUCAGUUUUGUAUAAACUGUAAAAAGCAGUGUGUGGCUUUGUAUUUUACCUGUGACCAACUCCAUAGUUUAUAAGUAUUAAGACAUUGUCGUAGUGAGUAAA